GGUGGUGCAUGGCCGUUCUUAGUUGGUGGAGCGAUUUGUCUGGUUAAUUCCGAUAACGAACGAGACUCUAGCCUAUUAAAUAGGCUCCCGGCUUUUAAACGCCGGGAGGACUUCUCAGAGGGACAGGUGGCGGUUCAGCCGCACGAAAGAGAGCAAUAACAGGUCUGUGAUGCCCUUUGUUGUCCGGGGCCGCACGCGCGCUACACUGAAGAGAUCAGCGUGCUUUAUGUUCCUGCUCCGACCGGAGUGGGGAACCCAGUGAACCUUCUUCGUGAUUGGGAUAGAAGAUUGUAAUUAUUCUUCUUGAACGAGGAAUUCCCAGUAAACGCGAGUCAUAAGCUCGCGUUGAUUACGUCCCUGCCCUUUGUACACACCGCCCGUCGCU
RNAcentral lists this ribosomal RNA (385 nucleotides) under Limulidae environmental sample. RNAcentral describes it as "SSU rRNA". It matches the Rfam family "Eukaryotic small subunit ribosomal RNA", at positions 1276 to 1680 of the family's 1831-position model. The record is from RNAcentral. Lineage: Eukaryota; Metazoa; Arthropoda; Merostomata; Xiphosura; Limulidae.